RNAcentral lists this ribosomal RNA (253 nucleotides) under uncultured bacterium. Its description in RNAcentral is "partial 16S ribosomal RNA". It matches the Rfam family "Bacterial small subunit ribosomal RNA", at positions 524 to 776 of the family's 1533-position model. The record is from RNAcentral.
UACAGAGGUCUCAAGCGUUGUUCGGAUUCAUUGGGCGUAAAGGGUGUGUAGGUGGCGCGCUAAGUCGGGUGUGAAAUCCCGGGGCUCAACCCCGGAACUGCACUGGAUACUGCCAUGCUUGAGUACUGGAGAGGAGAUUGGAAUUUACGGUGUAGCAGUGAAAUGCGUAGAUAUCGUAAGGAAGACCAGUGGCGAAGGCGAAUCUCUGGACAGUUACUGACACUGAGGCACGAAGGCCAGGGGAGCAAACGGG